This 351-nucleotide RNase P RNA is filed under the name Clostridia bacterium. RNAcentral's name for it is "RNase P RNA component class A". It matches the Rfam family "Bacterial RNase P class A". From Rfam's summary of the family: Ribonuclease P (RNase P) is a ubiquitous endoribonuclease, found in archaea, bacteria and eukarya as well as chloroplasts and mitochondria. Its best characterised activity is the generation of mature 5'-ends of tRNAs by cleaving the 5'-leader elements of precursor-tRNAs. The record is from RNAcentral. Lineage: Bacteria; Bacillati; Bacillota; Clostridia.
CGAGCAAGCCAGACAGCCGCGCGUGCAGUGCCGAAAGGCCGCACUGUGAGGAAAGUCCGAGCUCCGUAGGGCAGGAUAGCGGGUAACGCCCGCCGAAGGCGACUUUAGGGAAAGUGCAACAGAGAUAUACCGCCGGCGUUUUACGUCGGUAAGGAUGGAAAGGCGAGGUAAGAGCUCACCGGCGCACAGGCGACUGUGCGGCCCUGCAAACCCUAUCCGGAGCAACACCGCAUAGAGGGAUAAACGCUUGCCCGGCGUGUCCCCGGGAAGGUGGCUUGAGCCGUGUGGCGACAUACGGCCCAGAUAGAUGGUUGUCUAAAACAGAACUCGGCUUACAGACUUACUCGCACC